This 886-nucleotide ribosomal RNA is filed under the name uncultured bacterium. Its description in RNAcentral is "bacterial SSU rRNA". It matches the Rfam family "Bacterial small subunit ribosomal RNA", at positions 8 to 853 of the family's 1533-position model. The record is from RNAcentral.
AGAGUUUGAUCCUGGCUCAGGACGAACGCUGGCGGCGUGCGUAAUACAUGCAAGUCGAGCGAGCUUGCCUAGAUGAUUUUAGUGCUUGCACUAAAUGAAACUAGAUACAAGCGAGCGGCGGACGGGUGAGUAACACGUGGGUAACCUGCCCAAGAGACUGGGAUAACACCUGGAAACAGAUGCUAAUACCGGAUAGCAACACUAGACGCAUGUCUAGAGUUUGAAAGAUGGUUCUGCUAUCACUCUUGGAUGGACCUGCGGUGCAUUAGCUAGUUGGUAAGGUAACGGCUUACCAAGGCAAUGAUGCAUAGCCGAGUUGAGAGACUGAUCGGCCACAUUGGGACUGAGACACGGCCCAAACUCCUACGGGAGGCAGCAGUAGGGAAUCUUCCACAAUGGACGAAAGUCUGAUGGAGCAACGCCGCGUGAGUGAAGAAGGGUUUCGGCUCGUAAAGCUCUGUUGGUAGUGAAGAAAGAUAGAGGUAGUAACUGGCCUUUAUUUGACGGUAAUUACUUAGAAAGUCACGGCUAACUACGUGCCAGCAGCCGCGGUAAUACGUAGGUGGCAAGCGUUGUCCGGAUUUAUUGGGCGUAAAGCGAGUGCAGGCGGUUCAAUAAGUCUGAUGUGAAAGCCUUCGGCUCAACCGGAGAAUUGCAUCAGAAACUGUUGAACUUGAGUGCAGAAGAGGAGAGUGGAACUCCAUGUGUAGCGGUGGAAUGCGUAGAUAUAUGGAAGAACACCAGUGGCGAAGGCGGCUCUCUGGUCUGCAACUGACGCUGAGGCUCGAAAGCAUGGGUAGCGAACAGGAUUAGAUACCCUGGUAGUCCAUGCCGUAAACGAUGAGUGCUAAGUGUUGGGAGGUUUCCGCCUCUCAGUGCUGCAGCU